RNAcentral lists this ribosomal RNA (466 nucleotides) under uncultured bacterium. RNAcentral's name for it is "bacterial SSU rRNA". It matches the Rfam family "Bacterial small subunit ribosomal RNA", at positions 28 to 507 of the family's 1533-position model. The record is from RNAcentral.
GACGAACGCUGGCGGCGUGCCUAACACAUGCAAGUCGAGCGAGGAGGAGGAAGCUUGCUUUCGAAUCCUAGCGGCGGACGGGUGAGUAACGCGUGAGCAAUCUGCCUUUUACAGGGGGAUAACGCAUCGAAAGAUGUGCUAAUACCGCGUAAGACCACAGCACCGCAUGGUGCAGGGGUCAAAGGAGCAAUCCGGUAAAAGAUGAGCUCGCGUCCGAUUAGCUAGUUGGUGAGAUAACAGCCCACCAAGGCGACGAUCGGUAGCCGACCUGAGAGGGUGAACGGCCACACUGGAACUGAGAAACGGACCAGACUCCUACGGGAGGCAGCAGUGGGGAAUAUUGGGCAAUGGAGGCAACUCUGACCCAGCAACGCCGCGUGAAGGAAGAAGGCCUUCGGUUGUAACUUUGUUGUAGAGGACGAAGAAAGUGACUGUACUCUACGAGGAAGCCCGGCGUAACUAUGUG